RNAcentral lists this ribosomal RNA (253 nucleotides) under uncultured bacterium. RNAcentral describes it as "partial 16S ribosomal RNA". It matches the Rfam family "Bacterial small subunit ribosomal RNA", at positions 524 to 776 of the family's 1533-position model. The record is from RNAcentral.
AACGUAGGAGACAAACGUUAUCCGGAGUUACUGGGCGUAAAGGGCUCGUAGGCGGCCAACUAAGUCAGACGUGAAAUCCCUCGGCUUAACCGGGGAACUGCGUCUGAUACUGGAUGGCUUGAGGUUGGGAGAGGGAUGCGGAAUUCCAGGUGUAGCGGUGAAAUGCGUAGAUACUGGGAGGAACACCAGUGGCGAAGGCGGCUACCUGGACCGGUUCUGACGCUGAGGCGCGAAAGCGUGGGUAGCAAACAGG